ACGAACGCUGGCGGCGUGCCUAAUACAUGCAAGUAGAGCGCUGAAGGAGGAGCUUGCUUCUCUGGAUGAGUUGCGAACGGGUGAGUAACGCGUAGGUAACCUGCCUGGUAGCGGGGGAUAACUAUUGGAAACGAUAGCUAAUACCGCAUAAUAGUAGAUGUUGCAUGACAUUUGCUUAAAAGGUGCAAUUGCAUCACUACCAGAUGGACCUGCGUUGUAUUAGCUAGUUGGUGGGGUAACGGCUCACCAAGGCGACGAUACAUAGCCGACCUGAGAGGGUGAUCGGCCACACUGGGACUGAGACACGGCCCAGACUCCUACGGGAGGCAGCAGUAGGGAAUCUUCGGCAAUGGACGGAAGUCUGACCGAGCAACGCCGCGUGAGUGAAGAAGGUUUUCGGAUCGUAAAGCUCUGUUGUAAGAGAAGAACGAGUGUGAGAGUGGAAAGUUCACACUGUGACGGUAUCUUACCAGAAAGGGACGGCUAACUACGUG
Molecule: ribosomal RNA, 494 nt
Filed under: uncultured bacterium
Lineage: Bacteria
Description: partial 16S ribosomal RNA
Rfam family: Bacterial small subunit ribosomal RNA
Source: RNAcentral